Coffea eugenioides is the source of this 1067-nucleotide long non-coding RNA. RefSeq lists it as uncharacterized. The record is from RefSeq and is a predicted model, not a curated record. The transcript has 4 exons. NCBI's taxonomy places the organism in Eukaryota, Viridiplantae, Streptophyta, Magnoliopsida, Gentianales, Rubiaceae.
UAUUCCUUUAUCUUGAUUGGCUGUUAAGAACACUGCUGCAUCAUAUACUUGCAUCAAUUGUGGACGAAGGACUUCAGUUCCAUAUCGUGCACAAGGCUUUCUCCUUUUUUUCUGUGUAAAAAAAAGCAUUAAUGUAAAGUUUAAAUUGUAGUCACCUUAGCUAGCAAGUAGGUCUGCAGGGUAGAAUUGUACGUGUUCAAAUUCCAUUGUCUGUACACUUGUCCCGUGUUGAUGUGGUGAACUAAUUUAGAUUCCUAAAUUAAGAUAUUAGCAAGGUCAUAUGUUUUGCUCAUAAGAGUUCAGAUGGACUUAGCAGCAUCAAUUAAGUGAAUUUACAGAAAUCAUAGUCUUAUAGAGAGUGGAAAUUUUGGGUGGAAUGUAGUGAGGAUGUAAAUCUUUGUCUUGCUUUCCUUUUCCCCAAGUCCAGUCUCCUAUUUCCUAUGAUCAAAACACUUAAAUUAUAUGAAGUUUCUCCUCAAUAAUCCUUUCCUUUGUUUCUCAAUAUAUUUCUUUGACUUGUAUCAUCCUUUAUACUUCCUUUUUGAACUAAUAUAUAGGUCUAGUUAUCUCUUAUAGCGAUACCAGUCCUCUGAUACCAGAUUUUGGAUCCAAAAUGCAGAUUUAUUUAUAGAGAGUUGCCAUCCCAAGUAGCUCAAUCGUGGAGGAUGGAGAUGGGUGGAAUACUUAAAGGCAAUCCAGUUCCAGUUUAAUAGAUGCAAUGCUUUUAGGCCUACUUGAGCUAUGCGAGAUGUAAAUGGAUAAGCCAUUUCGGGCAAUUCAAUGGAAGAACCAAAGAGAUAUGUUUGCAGUGGACAAGUUGUUGAAUCUGCCAAGUCUUCUGCAUCUGUCUCAUCAUGCUGCUUGUUGCUAAAGGAUUAGUUUUAUUCCAAGACUUCUUCCUUCCCUGCACUACAUCUUGGUUGAUGAACGAAGAGUCUUGUGCUGUAGCUUUUCUGCUGAUUAUGGUUUUGAUUCAUAACUAAAAGAAUUCAUGGUUUAAGACAAAAAGUGCUGAAGCACACUAGCCGAGCAAAAGUUGUUGCAAUGACAGGAAUGUAGCUUUUGAC